This 758-nucleotide ribosomal RNA is filed under the name uncultured Enterobacteriaceae bacterium. RNAcentral's name for it is "bacterial SSU rRNA". It matches the Rfam family "Bacterial small subunit ribosomal RNA", at positions 28 to 776 of the family's 1533-position model. Lineage: Bacteria; Pseudomonadati; Pseudomonadota; Gammaproteobacteria; Enterobacterales; Enterobacteriaceae. The record is from RNAcentral.
AUUGAACGCUGGCGGCAGGCCUAACACAUGCAAGUCGAGCGGUAGCACAGGAGAGCUUGCUCUCCGGGUGACGAGCGGCGGACGGGUGAGUAAUGUCUGGGAAACUGCCUGAUGGAGGGGAUAACUACUGGAAACGGUAGCUAAUACCGCAUAACGUCGCAAGACCAAAGAGGGGGACCUUCGGGCCUCUUGCCAUCAGAUGUGCCCAGAUGGGAUUAGCUAGUAGGUGGGGUAACGGCUCACCUAGGCGACGAUCCCUAGCUGGUCUGAGAGGAUGACCAGCCACACUGGAACUGAGACACGGUCCAGACUCCUACGGGAGGCAGCAGUGGGGAAUAUUGCACAAUGGGCGCAAGCCUGAUGCAGCCAUGCCGCGUGUAUGAAGAAGGCCUUCGGGUUGUAAAGUACUUUCAGCGGGGAGGAAGGCGAUAAGGUUAAUAACCUUGUCGAUUGACGUUACCCGCAGAAGAAGCACCGGCUAACUCCGUGCCAGCAGCCGCGGUAAUACGGAGGGUGCAAGCGUUAAUCGGAAUUACUGGGCGUAAAGCGCACGCAGGCGGUCUGUCAAGUCGGAUGUGAAAUCCCCAGGCUCAACCUGGGAACUGCAUUCGAAACUGGCAGGCUAGAGUCUUGUAGAGGGGGGUAGAAUUCCAGGUGUAGCGGUGAAAUGCGUAGAGAUCUGGAGGAAUACCGGUGGCGAAGGCGGCCCCCUGGACAAAGACUGACGCUCAGGUGCGAAAGCGUGGGGAGCAAACAGG